UGGGGGAUAUUGCACAAUGGGCGAAAGCCUGAUGCAGCGACGCCGCGUGGGGGAUGAAGGCCUUCGGGUUGUAAACUUCUUUUGCCCUGAACAAGGCGCACCAUGGGGUGUGUUGAGUGUAGGGGUUGAUUAGCGCCGGCUAACUACGUGCCAGCAGCCGCGGUAAUACGUAGGGCGCGAGCGUUGUCCGGAAUUAUUGGGCGUAAAGGGCUUGUAGGUGGCUGGUUGCGUCUGUCGUGAAAGCUCAUGGCUUAACUGUGGGUUUGCGGUGGGUACGGGCUGGCUUGAGUGCAGUAGGGGAGGCUGGAAUUCCUGGUGUAGCAGUGGAAUGCGCAGAUAUCAGGAGGAAUACCGGUGGCGAAGGCGGGUCUCUGGGCUGUUACUGACACUGAGGAGCGAAAGCAUGGGGAGCGAACAGG
Molecule: ribosomal RNA, 419 nt
Filed under: bacterium
Lineage: Bacteria
Description: partial 16S ribosomal RNA
Rfam family: Bacterial small subunit ribosomal RNA
Source: RNAcentral